GACAAUUCAAAAUAGGGUAAAUUAGGCCCACUACCCUAAAAAAUUAACUAAAUUGAUUAAUACCCUAAAAACUAAUUAAGUCAACUAAGAACGUAUUAAAUACGUUAUAAAAACCCCCAAACCACUCCAUCCCAAUCCCCAGAUUCCUAGGCCACUUCGUCUUCUUCCCAGCUUCAACAAUACCCAAUUAAACCAAAAUCAAAACCCAGAAAAUCCAAUCAAAUUCAAAUUUAAUUAUGGAAAUUUAUAUCAAUGCAUUUCCAUGGGUGCUUGAGAACAUUCGAGCUAUCCGUUUAUUUGAGAAGCUGAUAACUCUAAUCUUCUUUCUCGUCGAACAGCUGGCGAAACAAAAGCAAAACCAUGAGUGUGUCGAUGGCCAAAGCUGAUAGAUGAAGGGGAAUCCAAGGUGCUUAGUUUCGAGACUACUGUGAUGAUACUGUCGCGAGUUUCUUCCUCAACUCGCAUUGUAGUAGAAACCUCCUCUGCCUGGUCUUCUAAGGAGUGGCCACUGUCUCGGGCCAGCAACCGUUAGCUCUGAAGUGGUUCCCAUCUCGAAAAUAUAUUUUAUGGUUGAGGAAAUAUCAGAAACUGAUUUUGGGUGUUAAACUCUAGAUGGCAUGAAACGGUAUACAUUCCCAAAAUCCGUUGCUGCAUGUUCAUUCUUUUCAAAGGUUAAG
Molecule: long non-coding RNA, 677 nt
Filed under: Olea europaea subsp. europaea
Lineage: Eukaryota; Viridiplantae; Streptophyta; Magnoliopsida; Lamiales; Oleaceae
Source: RNAcentral